GCACUCGCUCCAGGUGUCGGGCGCCGGGUCUGGCCACCGGGCGCAACCGUCGGAGCGGGCUAAUUACUGGCUCGCCGGAUAGCCGGUUCGCCGGCGCUUGGGGGCCAGGCCCGAACUUCUUACCAGAGCGGCGCCCGCCCCUUUUCUCUCCCGGCUUCGACGCUCCUCUGGUUCCCCUCUCUGCUCGGGAGGCUAAGUGCUCGGGAGAGGCGCGGGAGCCAAGACUUAUGCACCCGGAGAGGGACGCGGAGCCAGCGGUCGGGCAAAGCCGCAUUCCCCGCGCUUGGGGCCUCGGCUUUGCCCCUGGGUGCUCCCCGGUUACUUCCAGGGGGAGUAAAGGCUCCGAGGCCUCGUAGCGCUCUUGGUGUUUUUCUGAUAAUUCGUAGUGAUUAAUGUUUUCGUGAAUUCUUAAUUGCCGACCUUGUAGAAAUGCCAGCAUUUAAACAUCCACUGCUCACCCAGAUCUCAAAGUGGUCAAGGAAAAUGCUCUGCUUUUUUCUUAGGUUGUGUAAGGAUUACUUUUACUUGGAAAAAAAAAAAAUCAGUUCAUUUCGAAGAAUAUGUGUAAUGGCAAGGGAUGACCAGAGAGCGUUACAUUCGAAUUUUUGAGUUGAAGAGUGCACACCUCGAACUCGGGGUUGCUUUUUCUUUCUUUACUGUAUGACCUUCCUUGCUGUUUACAGUGUUCUAAAUGCUUUGAAAAACAUCAAGCAACUAGUGAAAUUAGGGAGCGUUGGGAAAAUCGACAGUUUUCAUUUCUCUGCUUUUUUAAAGCAUGUAAAUUGAAAGCUGUCAGGUCCUGUGGAGCAAUGGUCUUAAAAUAAUAACACACAAAGUUCUGGCUAUGCCAAUAACUGUUUUGAAGGCUUUACAAAUAUUAACUCCUUUGUUUUAUAUUUUUGUAGAGACAGGGGUCUCCUAUGUUGCCCAGGCUGCUCUCCAAUUCCUGACCUCAAGCCAUCCGCCCAACUUGGCCUCCCAAAGUGUUGGGAUUACAGGGGUGGUCCACCAUACCCAGCCUUAACUUCUUUAAUCCUCACAGCUUCAUGAAGACUAUAUCAUUAUCCCACUUUUAAAGAUGAGGACAUUUAGCACUUGCAGUGAAGUAAAUGGCACUGCUGCAAUCCAGACCCUGAAUAUGAGGCUGUUAUUAACCAUGUGGCUAUACUAAAAGUGAUAUAAAACACAUUCCUACAACUUUUAUAUAAUUCCUUACUUAGAUAUUUUGAUUGUGAAAAUACGUGAGGAUCAAACUGAUAGUCUCUUCAACAGGCAGACAGUGGCCUUGAAAAUAUAGUCCAAAAGGGAGUGUGGAGAUGCAUGAUUACAUUAAUUCUGAGACAGCAGCGUCACCACGCCCCACCCAAACCAGUAAUUCCUGUGCAAAAGAACUGGUUUAGAAAUCUGCCUCCACCUAGAGUUCUAGAGUAGCAGCAGAGGAUACAUACUUUUAAGGAUUUUUUUUUUUUUUUUGAGAUGGAGUGCCACUCUGUUGCCCAGGCUGGAGUGCAGUGGCAUGAUCUCCGCUGGCUGCAACCUUUGCCUCCACCUAGAGUUCUAGAGCAGCAGCAGAGGAUACAUCUUUCUAAGGAUUUAAUUUUUUUUUUUUGAGACAGAGUCUUACUGUGUUGCCCAGGCUGGAGUGUAGUGGUGCGAUCUUGGCUUACUGCAUCCUCUGCCUCCCAGGUUCAAGUGAUUCUCCUGCCCCAGCCUCCCAAGUAGCUGGGAUUGCAGACAGGCACCACUAUGCCUGGUUAAGUUUUGUAUUUUUAGUAGAGACGGGGUUUCACCAUGUUGGCCAGGCUGGUCUGGAACUCCUGACCUCAAGUGAUCCACCGGCCUUGGCCUCCCAAAGUGCUAGGAUUACAGGCGUAAGCCACCAGGCCUGGCCCGAUUUAAAAUACUUUUGCCAGGCACUUUGGCUCCUGCUUGUAGUCCCAGCAACCCUGGAGACUGAGGUAGGAGGAUACCUUAAGCCCAGGAGUUGGAGGCUGCAGUGAGCUAUGAUGGUGCCACCACACUCCAGCCUAGGCAACAGGGCAAUACCCUGUCUCUCUCAAAAAUAAAUUUAAAAAAUAAAACGUUUUGAAUUUGCGUUUUCUUCAACGUCUUUCCCAAAGCCCAACUUCUUUUAUUCUAAUGGUUGCUUUUAAGAUUCAUUUUGAGGACAAAUCAGGCUCUCUCAAAUAAGAUGCAGUACUAAUCAAAAUAUAUUGACAGCAGAAUAUACCUUUUUCUGUCCAUAUUAUGCUGUAAUGGAUAUUUAAAUUGGUCCUAGGAAUUCUUACAAUCUGGUUGGAAAUUUUGAUUUGAGUUUUCUUUGGAUGUCACUGGAAGGAUUAAUGAGUUUCUCAGAAUCUUUAUGGUGAUUGCUUCACGGUCUUGACAUAUUUCCAACAACCUGGAGCAGAAAUGUGAGGGCAAAGGCUGCCAUAUACUGUUAAGCAAUGUUCAGAGGACCUUAAUACUGCUCCAUAUGUUACAAUAUAUUUUCUAUCUUGAGCUUAACAUUGUAAUACAACUUGAAAUCUUGUGAUUCUAUCUCGAAAUUAACAUUUAAUACAUAAUAUGUCUUGACAUUCUUGUAAUUCUAUCUAGAAAUUAACAUUGUAGUACAUGUAAUACAUCUUGGCAUUUUUGUAAUUCUAUCUUGAAAUUCACAUUGUAAUACAUGUAAUACAUCUUGAAGUUUACAUUGUAACACAUGUAAUACAUCUUGACAUUCUUGUAAUUCUAUCUUGAAAUUAACAUUGUAAUACAUCUUGACAAGUCAACUUUGAACAAACCCAGUGCUUUUUUUCUAUACAGCCAUGGAGUCAGAAAUACAGGAAUUAUAUUCAUAGCUUUAUCAGCCAAAUU
This 2859-nucleotide long non-coding RNA is filed under the name Homo sapiens (human). RNAcentral's name for it is "non-protein coding lnc-NAA35-14:1". The record is from RNAcentral. Lineage: Eukaryota; Metazoa; Chordata; Mammalia; Primates; Hominidae.